This 277-nucleotide unclassified non-coding RNA is filed under the name Exophiala alcalophila. RNAcentral's name for it is "partial internal transcribed spacer region". The stretch from base 1 to 46 matches the Rfam family "Eukaryotic small subunit ribosomal RNA", at positions 1786 to 1831 of the family's 1831-position model. The record is from RNAcentral. Lineage: Eukaryota; Fungi; Ascomycota; Eurotiomycetes; Chaetothyriales; Herpotrichiellaceae.
AGGUCGUAACAAGGUUUCCGUAGGUGAACCUGCGGAAGGAUCAUUACCGAGUUAGGGUCCUCUGGGCCCGAUCUCCCAACCCUUUGUUUAUUAUACCUUUUGUUGCUUCGGCGAGCCCGUUGUCUCACGACGACCGCCGGAGGACCGCUUAACGGCGUCCUCUGGUCCGCGCCCGCCGAUGGCCCCAAAAUCUCAAAAUUCUUGUAUGAAUCGUGUCUUUACCUAAGUCUUGAUUUAAUCAAAAACAAAACUUUCAACAACGGAUCUCUUGGUUCUG